UUUUUGCACUAGGGGAGCUUUAGGCUGAGAAGAACUUUGUUCUGACCCUUAUUACCCGAUCUGGAUAAUACCAGCGUGGGGAAGUGCAGGUGAAGCUCU
This 99-nucleotide non-coding RNA is filed under the name Mesobacillus selenatarsenatis. RNAcentral describes it as "Bacillus selenatarsenatis TPP sequence". It matches the Rfam family "TPP riboswitch aptamer (THI element)". Rfam says of the family: Vitamin B(1) in its active form thiamin pyrophosphate (TPP) is an essential coenzyme that is synthesised by coupling of pyrimidine and thiazole moieties in bacteria. The previously detected thiamin-regulatory element, thi box was extended, resulting in a new, highly conserved RNA secondary structure, the THI element, which is widely distributed in eubacteria and also occurs in some archaea. Lineage: Bacteria; Bacillati; Bacillota; Bacilli; Caryophanales; Bacillaceae. The record is from RNAcentral. RNAcentral also lists the same sequence under 1 other name.